Molecule: ribosomal RNA, 2013 nt
Filed under: Pseudomonadota bacterium
Lineage: Bacteria; Pseudomonadati; Pseudomonadota
Description: Proteobacteria bacterium partial 23S ribosomal RNA
Rfam family: Bacterial large subunit ribosomal RNA
Source: RNAcentral
GUAGUCAAGUUAGAAAGGGCGCACGGUGGAUGCCUUGGCAAUUGGAGCCGAUGAAGGGCGUAGUAAGCAACGAUAGGCUUCGGUGAGUCGCUCACAGACUGACCCGGAGAUACCCGAAUGGGGCAACCCUGCGUGGUUCAAACCACGUAACUCCCGCAUGAAUAUAUAGUGCGGGUAGAGGCAAGCCACUGAACUGAAACAUCUCAGUAAGUGGAGGAGAAGAAAACGAAGUGAUUCCCUGAGUAGUGGCGAGCGAAACGGGAACAGCCUAAACCGAUACUGGCUUUACAGUGUCGGGGUCGUGGGGCUUUUCAUAUAGGAGUUACAAAGUUAACCGUUAGUCGAAUCUGUCUGGAAAGCAGAUCCAAAGAGGGUGAAAGACCUGUAGACGAAAGCGGUUAGCCUCCUGAGAAGUACCCGAGUAACGCGGAACUCGUGGAAUUCUGCGUGAAUCUGGGGAGACCACUCCCUAAGGCUAAACACUCCAAUUGACCGAUAGUGAACAAGUACCGUGAGGGAAAGGUGAGAAGCACCCCGGGAGGGGAAAAGCUGUCCCUGAAGCCGUGUGCCUACAAGCAGUCGGAGCACUACUGCGCAAGCAAGUGUGACGGCGUGCCUUUUGUAGAAUGAUCCUGGGAGUUGUCAUGUGCAGCAAGGUUAAGGCCGCAGGGCCGCAGCCGUAGGGAAACCGAGUCUUAAUAGGGCGACAAGUUGCACGUGGCACACCCGAAACCGAGUGAUCUACCCAUGGACAGGCUGAAGCGAAGGUAAAACUUCGUGAAGGGCCGAACCAGUGUUGGUUGAAAACAACUUGGAUGAGCUGUGGGUAGUGGUGAAACGCUAAACGAACUCGGAUAUAGCUGGUUCUCCCCGAAAUAGUUUGAGGAUUAGCCUCAUCCGUUCAGCAACGGUGGUAAAGCACUGAAAAGGUUAGGGGGCCCACAAGCCUACCGACCCUUAUCAAACUCUGAAUGCCGUUGCCCUAGAGGAUGGGAGUGAGACAGUGGGGGAUAAGCUUCAUUGUCGAGAGGGAAACAGCCCAGACCAUCAAUUAAGGUCCCCAAGUUCUGGCUAAGUGGUUAACGAGGUGAGAUUGCUCAGACAAUCAGGAGGUUGGCUUAGAAGCAGCCAUCCUUUAAACAGUGCGUAAUAGCUGACUGAUCGAGUGAUUUCGCGCGGAAAAUUCAACGGGGCUCAAGCCAGGCACCGAAGUUAUGGAUUCAUAUUUUAUAUGAGUGGUAGGGGAGCGUCGUGUAGUAGGUCGAAGCUCGAGCGUAAGCGCGGGUGGACGAAUCACGAGUGCGAAUCCAGGAAUGAGUAGCGAAAAGCAAAGUGAGAAUCUUUGCCGCCGAAAACCUAAGGUUUCAUAAGCAAGGUUCGUCCGCUUAUGUUCAGGCGGGCCUAAGCCGAGGCAGAAAUGCGUAGGCGAUGGACAGACGGUUGAUAUUCCGUCCCCGCUGUUAGAUUGUUGACUCAUGCGUCGGUUGGUCAGCCUACCCCAGUGCUGGGGAUGGCCUUUAUACCCAAGGAAGGUCACGAGAGCCUAGCUCGAAGUGGUGGAACCUAUACGGCCAAGAAAAGUGAGCAACGCGUGUCUAACGGCGCCCGUACCGCAAACCGACACAGGUAGGUGAGGAGAGUAUCCUCAGGCGCGCGAGAGAACCCACGUUAAGGAACUCGGCAAUCUGUUCCCGUAACUUUGGAAGAAGGGAAGCCCCAUUAGCUUGUAAGUCCUCGCGACUGAAGGGUGAAGGGGCCGCAGAGAAUCGGCUCAAGCGACUGUUUACCAAAAACAUAGGUCUCUGCGAAGUCGUAAGACGACGUAUAGGGGCUGAUGCCUGCCCAAUGCCGGAAUGUUAAGGGGAGGGGUUAGGGGCAACCCGAAGCUUCGAACUGAAGCACCGGUCAAUGGCGGCCGUAACUAUAACGGUCCUAAGGUAGCGAAAUUCCUUGUCGGGUAAGUUCCGACCUGCACGAAUGGCAUAACGACUUGAGCGCUGUCUCAACGUGGGA